GGAGUCUGCACAGACAUUACUAGACUGUCUAUUAAUUAGUCUGGUGUAUCUAUUAUAUCUGUUACCUUUUAUGUUAUUUAUAGCUAAAUUGCUUAAAUAUUUUGUACAGAUAAAUUUAUAAAUAUACUGAGUUUAUCUAAGCUAGAGAUUUAGGUUAUUUGUAUUACUAUUGUAAGUUUUUUGUUAAUCAGUCGUUAGGUUUCCUAUUUUAUCAUAUAUCCCCUCUGGUUUAAUCUCUGACACUUGUCCAGCGCUCCACUCCCUAAAUAUUUUCUAUUUAUUUAAGACGCUUCUGACGUUGUUUGUUGUUCAGGAGCGGCUUGACAAGAGGAAUACGACAUCUGAAGCCCAUGUCCAGGAUCCGUCUGUGUGUGGUGGCUCUUGAUGCACUGACUCCAGCCUCAGUCCCAUACUUUUGAAUGGCCUUUUCCUGACAAUCCUCUCCAGGCUGCGGUCAUCCCUGCUGCUUGUGCACCUUUUUUUUCCACACUUUCCCCUUUCACAUAACUUUCUAUUAAUGUGCUUUGAUACAGCACUUUGGGAACAUCCAACUUCCUUCGCAAUUAUCUUUUGAGGCUUUCCCUCCUUAUGGAGGGUGUCAAUGAUGGUUUUCUGCACAACUGUCAGGUCAGCAGUCUUCCCCAUGAUUGUGAUUCCUGCUGAACCAGACUGAGAGACCAUUUAAAGGCUCAGGAACCCUUAGCAUGUGUUAUGGCUUACUUAGCUGAUUAGAGUGGGACACUGUGAGACUAGAAUAUUGCACCUUUUCACAAUAUUCUAAUUUACUGAGAUUGUGGAUUUGGGGUUUUCAUGAGCUGUAAACCAUAAUCAUCGCACUUAUGACAAAUCACGGCUUUUAAACUUUUUAACACUUAAUAAUCUUUGUGUCCUACAGGCCUUGCAUUAUUACACGAACUAAAACCUCUCCUUCCAUCUGUUGAAAUGUUUUUGUGUAACAUUGGGUAGUUUUUAAAGCAUAGCUGGGGACUAAUAUAUUUUUCAAAUUUCUUGCUUUUUUAAAAAAUCAUGGGAACUUAUUUUGGGGUGUACCUUCCCCAAAACUCGGUCCUUUAACAAGAUGUCCUAAUGUUUUUUUAGGAUUUUCCUUAUUUCCUGGUGCUGUGUAUUAAAU
This is a non-coding RNA of Pelobates cultripes (western spadefoot toad), 1132 nucleotides long. The record is from the annotation of a GenBank genome assembly. Lineage: Eukaryota; Metazoa; Chordata; Amphibia; Anura; Pelobatidae.